AUGAUGGAGCACACCGCCGUCGGCGAGGAUCAGGCCAUGUCCGACCUUCGCGAUAAGCAUCGGAUGGACCGGGAGAGUUUAACGCUGACAUCACAGCCAUUCAAAACACUCGCAUUAUUUGUGCUAGCCAUUGGACAGAGUAUAAGAAGCACAUGUUCAUGUGUUCUGAAAGAAGGUUCUCGGUUGAAGUUCCUGGUUCCCUUGCUUGGUGCUACCUGUGUGCUUCUCUUGGUAACUGAUGGCCCACAUGAGAAGCAUAUGCAGGAACUGCUUUGGUAUGCCAGAUUUGGAUUAUGGUGGGUCAUACUAGGGGUGGCUUCAUCCAUUGGAUUAGGCUCUGGCUUGCACACGUUUGUAUUGUAUUUAGGGCCUCAUAUUGCCCUUUUCACAAUGAAAGCGGUUCAGUGUGGCCGGGUGGAUUUAAAGAGUGCUCCUUAUGACACUAUUCUUCUUAAAAGGAGGCCUUCAUGGUUGGAGAAAGACUGUCUGGAGUUUGGACCUCCAAUAUAUCAGGAAACAAUCCCAUUCAGCAAAAUACUGCAUGAAGUUCAUCUUGAAGCUGUUCUUUGGGGCAUUGGAACUGCACUUGGAGAGCUUCCUCCAUAUUUUAUCUCUAGAGCAGCUAGCCUAUCAGGCCAAAAAGUAGAAGAGUUGGCAGAGUUGGAUGCUUCUAUCUCAAAAGAAGGUUUUCUAUCAUCAACUCUACAUCGGGCCAAGCGCUGGCUUAUGUCUCACUCACAGUAUCUUAAUUUCCCGACAAUACUGCUACUUGCUUCGGUGCCAAACCCUCUGUUUGAUCUUGCUGGCAUUUUGUGUGGACAAUUUAACGUCCCCUUCUGGAAGUUCUUUCUGGCAACUUUAAUUGGGAAGGCUAUUAUCAAGGUUUAUAUGCAGACAACGUUGGUAAUUACUCUCUGCAACAACCAACUUCUUGAAUUGGUGGAGGAAAGGCUUGUGUGGGUGUUUAGCAAUUUCCCUGGAGUAUCAUCCAUCCUUCCCUCUUUAGUCACCAAGUUGAAGACAGCCAAGGAUAAGUUUUUAAUGGCCAGUGCUGCUGCAUCAGCUUCUAGUGCUGCGAAGGGGAAGAAGUGGAAUCUGUCGUUCUCUUUGAUCUGGAAUACCGUGGUGUGGCUCAUGAUCAUGAAUUUCAUCAUUCAGAUAAUCACUUCCACAGCACAGAGUUAUCUCAAGAAACAACAAGAGCUUGAGAUCAGCAUGAAGUCAUCAGCUACAAUGAGUUCCGCUUCUGAACCUGCUGCCGGAAUAUUAUCAAAUUAA
Molecule: ribosomal RNA, 1278 nt
Filed under: Triticum aestivum (bread wheat)
Lineage: Eukaryota; Viridiplantae; Streptophyta; Magnoliopsida; Poales; Poaceae
Description: partial small subunit ribosomal RNA
Source: RNAcentral